Molecule: ribosomal RNA, 253 nt
Filed under: uncultured bacterium
Lineage: Bacteria
Description: partial 16S ribosomal RNA
Rfam family: Bacterial small subunit ribosomal RNA
Source: RNAcentral
UACAGAGGGGGCAAGCGUUGUUCGGAAUUACUGGGCGUAAAGGGCGCGUAGGCGGCCUUCUAAGUCGAACGUGAAAUCCCCGGGCUCAACCCGGGAACUGCGUCCGAUACUGGAGGGCUUGAAUCCGGGAGAGGGAUGCGGAAUUCCAGGUGUAGCGGUGAAAUGCGUAGAUAUCUACAGGGACUCCGGUGGCGAAAGCGGCGUGCUGGAUCUCUUCUGACGCUGAGGCUCGAAAGCUAGGGGAGCAAACGGG